RNAcentral lists this ribosomal RNA (484 nucleotides) under uncultured bacterium. RNAcentral's name for it is "partial 16S ribosomal RNA". It matches the Rfam family "Bacterial small subunit ribosomal RNA", at positions 30 to 507 of the family's 1533-position model. The record is from RNAcentral.
AUUGAACGCUAGCGGGAUGCUUUACACGUGCAAGUCGAACGGCAGCGCGGACUUCGGUCUGGCGGCGAGUGGCGAACGGGUGAGUAAUGUAUCGGAACGUGCCCAGUAGCGGGGGAUAACUACGCGAAAGCGUAGCUAAUACCGCAUACGCCCUACGGGGGAAAGCAGGGGAUCGUAAGACCUUGCACUAUUGGAGCGGCCGAUAUCGGAUUAGCUAGUUGGUGAGGUAACGGCUCACCAAGGCGACGAUCCGUAGCUGGUUUGAGAGGACGACCAGCCACACUGGGACUGAGACACGGCCCAGACUCCUACGGGAGGCAGCAGUGGGGAAUUUUGGACAAUGGGGGCAACCCUGAUCCAGCCAUCCCGCGUGUGCGAUGAAGGCCUUCGGGUUGUAAAGCACUUUUGGCAGGAAAGAAACGUCGCGGGCUAAUACCCCGUGGAACUGACGGUACCUGCAGAAUAAGCACCGGCUAACUACGUG